Molecule: long non-coding RNA, 2587 nt
Organism: Oncorhynchus kisutch (coho salmon)
Lineage: Eukaryota; Metazoa; Chordata; Actinopteri; Salmoniformes; Salmonidae
Source: Ensembl
GUUGACAAAAGACAUCCGCUAGAACGCGCCUAUUGACUUGAACGUUGACAACCACAUUCUAUUCAUUGUAUUUCUAUUUUACCUUCGCGUGAGACCAAGCGGCGCAAGUGUUACCAUGGUGACCAGUGAGAGUUCAGGAAGGGAUUGUGAAUCCAACAGCUAAAUUGCGUAGGUUUGAAACCAUAAUCUAUUUUUGGCUAAUUGUACUAGAGUAAUGGGCUUCUAGGCUGGUUCGUCGAACUAUUAUUUGGACAAAAUAUGAGUUCACGUAGUACUAAAAGCCCAGGGAAAACUGGAGCCAAGGCACGGUCGAAGGGAGCAGUCCAAUCAUCAGAGGCAGGUGCCUCCCCCCAGCGCAGACAGAGCACUGGUGUGACCCAGGGUGGCCAGUCCAAAGGCAAAGCUGAUGCUGCCAAGACAAGAUGUAACACCUCUGCCAGUGCCAAGACAGUGCAACCACCAAAGAAAAGUACUGCAUUGCUCAUUCUUAUCAUGCCAAAUUAAUCAAUUUACCUUUAGCUUACUUCCAUUGCAACAAUGUAAAGAAGUGCUUUUUUGAUUGUCCUCAUAUACCUAGGCCGUAGUCAUCAGUUGAGAUCUGUGUGCCUAAUGCUUGUGUAGUAGAAGUGAAACUCGCCCGUAGUAUGUUGGCUGAGGUACAUUGGUGACAGGAUACUUCCCUGAGAUCUAAAAAGCUGCUGUCGCUCAGGGCAUGAUAGACUAUAUUGUGUUGCUUGAUUUAUGAGAAAGCCAGUUAAGCAUGCUCAUCUCAAGUUAGGACUCGACCAGAAGAGAAUAAUAAUUGCCUCCAGAGUGGUGCAGUGGUCUAAGGCAUUGCAGUGCUAGCUGUGCCACUAGAGUCCGGACUCUGUUGCAGCCGUCCGCGACUGGGAGACCCAUGGGACAGCGCACAAUUGGCACAGCGUCGUCCUAGUUAGGGGAGGGUUUGGCCCGGCAGGGAGGUUCUUGUCCCAUCGCGCACUAGUGGCUGGCUGGGCGCUGACAUGGUCGCUAGGUGUAUGGUGUUUCCGUCGACACAUUGGUGCGGAUGGCUUCUGGGUUAAGUGGGCAUUGUGUCAAGAAGCAGUGUGGCUUGGUUGUGUUUCGGAGGACGCACUCCUCUCCCGAGUCCAUACGGGAGUUGCAGCGAUGAGAAAAGACUGUAACUACCAAUUGGAUACCAUGAAAAAGGGGUGGGAAAAAAAGGAGAUAAUAAUAAUUUUUCCCUAGGAUCGGCUGUGUUCUUCUUACCGGGGACAGUGUGCAAUCACACAUUCAUAAACCACCCAUAAACCACCCUGGCUUACAUUACACAACUGUCUGUUACUCUUCAUUACACCCAAGGGAGUCUGAUGUGGUCAAAGGAAUUUAUGCUUGAAAACAAUCCCUCAUUGUUUCCUGCAGUCACCACCCAAGGCACACAUGGGAGCAGUAGGAACUAUAGAGAAGGGAACAUCAACUACAUUCAGGCGCACGCAAAUUUUUUCUUGAGCGGAUGAUCGGGGGCUGAAACAUAAUAAAAAAUAAAACAUUUAGACUGCAAAUUUACCGCAAGAAGCCUAAACAGAUAUAAUAUUUGACUAAAACUGUCACGCCCUGACCUUAGAGAGCCUUUUAUUUCUCUAUUUGUUUAGGUCGGGGUGUGAUUUGGGUGGGCAUUCUAGUUUUUCUAUUUCUUUGUUGGCCGGGUAUGGUUCCCAAUCAGAGGCAGCUGUCUAUCGUUGUCUCUGAUUGGGGAUCAUACUUAGGCAGCCUUUUUCCACCUUUAGUUUGUGGGAUCUUGUUUUUGUGUAGCUGUCUUCUGCACUGCAUAUAGCUUUACGGUCGUUUUGUAUUUUGUUGUUUUUUCGGUGUCAUUUAAUAAAAGAAAGAUGUACGCCUACCACGCUGCACCUUGGUCUCCUCAUUCCAUCAACGAACGUGACAAAAACCUUGAUUACAUUUGGAAACAUUGACCUGUGCAGGGUGCCGUCUUUCAGAUGGGACGUUAAAAUGGGUGUCCUGACUUUCUGUGGUCAUUCAAAAUCCCGUUGGGAUUUAUUGUAAGAGUAGGGGUGUACGCCCUGGUGUCAUGGCAAAAUUUCCAACCUGGCCACAUUCCAUCAUGGCCAUCUAAUCAUCCCCCUCAUUCCUAAUUGGCGUAUAUCACUCCUCACCUCUAUAGUUGAUGUGUGGUGAGAGUUCUGGCACAAAAAUGGUUGCCGUGCAUCACUGAGUUGGGUGCUACACAUUGAUGGUGGAUGAGGUGAGUUUCCCCCUACUAUGUAAAGCGCAUUUAUUUUUUAUAUAUUUUUUUACCUUUAUUUAUCUAGGCAAGUCAGUUAAGAACAAAUUCUUAUUUACAAUGACAGCCUAUACCAGCCAAACCUGGACGACGCUGGGCCAAUUGUGCACCACCGUAUGGGACUCCCAAUCAUGGCCGGUUGUGAUACAACCUGGAUUCAAACCAGGGUGUCUGUCGUGAUGCCUCUAGCACUGAGAUGCAAUGCCUUAGACCGCUGCGCCACUCGGGAGCCCAAAACAUCUCUCUGUUAUCUGUGGGAACUUUGGGAACAUAUUUUCUAAAUUAAAAUCCAUUGGAGCUGAU